UUYCUGGCAWUAAAUACUGACACUGAGGCUCGAAAGCGUGGGUAGCAAACAGGAUUAGAUACCCUGGUAGUCACGCCGUAACGAUGUCUACUAGUCGUUGGGUCCCUUGAGGACUUAGUGACGCAGCUAACGCAAUAAGUAGACCGCCUGGGGAGUACGCCGCAAGGUUAAAACUCAAAUGAAUUGACGGGGGCCCGCACAAGCGGUGGAGCAUGUGGUUUAAUUCGAUGCAACGCGAAGAACCUUACCUGGUCUUGACAUAUCUAGAAUCCUGCAGAGAUGCGGGAGUGCCUUCGGGAAUUAGAAUACARRWRMWRMAUGGCUGUCGUCAGCUCGUGUCGUGAGAUGUUGGGUUAAGUCCCGCAACGAGCGCAACCCUUGUCCUUAGUUACCAGCGGGUUAAGCCGGGAACUCUAAGGAUACUGCCAGUGACAAACUGGAGGAAGGCGGGGACGACGUCAAGUCAUCAUGGCCCUUACGACCAGGGCUACACACGUGCUACAAUGGUAGGUACAGAGGGCAGCUACACAGCGAUGUGAUGCGAAUCUCAAAAAGCCUAUCGUAGUCCAGAUUGGAGUCUGCAACUCGACUCCAUGAAGUAGGAAUCGCUAGUAAUCGCGGAUCAGAAUGCCGCGGUGAAUASGUUCCCGGGCCUUGUACACACCGCCCGUCACACCMYSKGUGUUAUUGCACCAGAAGUGGAUAGCUUAACCUUCGGGGGAGCGUUCACCA
Molecule: ribosomal RNA, 732 nt
Filed under: Psychrobacter sp.
Lineage: Bacteria; Pseudomonadati; Pseudomonadota; Gammaproteobacteria; Moraxellales; Moraxellaceae
Description: partial 16S ribosomal RNA
Rfam family: Bacterial small subunit ribosomal RNA
Source: RNAcentral